GAAAAAGGAAAGAUGAAGGAAAAAGAAAAUACAAUAGAAAAUGAUGUGUGGUUGAUUUAGCGACAGCCAAGCCAUCGUCUUCCUUUAUUCACCAAAAUCCGAACGAAAAUCAAAGUGAAGAACCGUGUGAGAGGCGAAGCUGAGACGGAGCAAUUUCUGGCGGAGUUCAAUCGGAGAAAAUUUCCGUUACUAUGUAAAUCGCAGUGACUGGAACGCGCCUCUCUUUGUCAUGGAGAUCUUUUCUUCAACUUGAAUUCAUGGAGGUGGUCGGUUCAGUGAAACUGUUUUCAGCGUCACCGGCGAACUCGGUUUCAGGCUUGAGUUACUCUCCCUCAUCUUAUUCUUCCACAUUAUUUUCUCCCAAGAAGAAGAAAAAGAAGAAGAAGAAGCUGCUUGUUGUGUCGAAGAGCAAAAAGCAGCCUCAAAUUUCAUCGGCUGGUUCGGAUCCUCCGAGAAUUACGUCAAAUCUGAAGCAGAAUUUGCAGUUUCUGAGAUUGUGGAAGGAGUUUCAAAAGAGAAAAUCUGGCGUACCUAAGCCUGCUACUAGUUACCGGAGGAAGAAGGUAGAGAAGGAGGACCUCCCAGGAGAUACGGAGCUUUAUCGUGAUCCCACAUUGGCUCUUUACUAUACAAACCAGGGCAUAGACAAUGCAGUCCCUGUCUUGCUGGUUGAUGGUUAUAAUGUGUGUGGCUACUGGGUGAAACUGAAGAAACAUUUUAUGAAUGGGAGACUUGAUGUAGCUCGCCAAAAGCUAAUUGACGAGCUUAUUACGUUCAGUAUGCUGAGAGAGGUCAAAGUGGUAGUUGUAUUUGAUGCGAUGCUGUCUGGACUCCCAACACACAAGGAAAACUUUGCGGGAAUUGAUGUGGUUUAUUCAGGUGAAUCGUGUGCAGAUACAUGGAUUGAAACAGAGGUUGUAGCCCUGAAGGAGGAUGGAUGUCCCAAAGUUUGGGUAGUGACUUCUGAUGUCUGUCAGCAGCAUGCAGCCCAUGGAGCAUGUUUAGCUGGAGCGAUUAACUCAUGUAAGUUUGCAUAUAUAGCUCUUGGUUGUUUAGACCUAUACUCUGAUUAUAGCUGAAAAGACUGUAUUCUGUUACUUUAUCCUCAGGGUGCCUUUAUUUGGAGUUGCAAGGCAUUAGUUUCUGAGAUUAAAGCAUCGAAAAAGGAGGUUGAAAUGAUGCUGCAAGAACACAGAUGUAGGUUCCCUAGCCUUUCCGAAUUCCAGAUGUAGGGUCUCUAUGUUCCAAAAGUGAAGAGAAGCAUAAUAUUUGUGCGUGACGUGUUUUGGCAUAUUUAAAAAUAUAGGAGAUGAUAUGGGAGAAGGAAAUAAAAGAAGAGAAGCCAGCUUUCUCAUUUGUCAGCAUUACCGUUUGUAGAAUAGCAUUUUUUAGUUCAGCUUUGGCCCCAUUUCAUUAAAUGAAAUAGAGCUACCACCACCGCAUUUGAAAGUCGUGAGUUAAUAGAGGGAGUACUGCUCAUAUUUAAGAGGUCGGGUUUAUGAGAUUUUAUGUAAAUGUUUAGGGAAGAAAAUUCUCAAAGAAUAACUUGGUUUUUGUUAUUUUAUAAUGUUGGUAAAGUUUUAUAAUCCUGCCCUGUAUUUGUAAGUCAUGAUAUAAUGGAGAAUACUGGCAAUUCAAGUGAUUGGGUUUGUGAGAUUUUAUGUAAA
Molecule: RNA transcript, 1667 nt
Organism: Cucumis melo (muskmelon)
Lineage: Eukaryota; Viridiplantae; Streptophyta; Magnoliopsida; Cucurbitales; Cucurbitaceae
Exons: 10
Source: RefSeq, a predicted model, not a curated record